RNAcentral lists this transfer RNA (63 nucleotides) under Boiga quincunciata. RNAcentral's name for it is "tRNA-His". Lineage: Eukaryota; Metazoa; Chordata; Lepidosauria; Squamata; Colubridae. The record is from RNAcentral.
GUGUGCGUAAUUUAAAUAAAAUAUCAUGCUGUGACCAUGACAAUAGGAAAUACCUCACACACC